CCUGGCUCAGAUUGAACGCUGGCGGCAGGCCUAACACAUGCAAGUCGAGCGAGAAAGCACUUCGGUGUGAGUAGAGCGGCGGACGGGUGAGUAACGCGUAGGAAUUUGCCCAGUAGUGGGGGACAACAUGUGGAAACUCGGAUUAAUACCGCAUAAUCUCUUCGGAGCAAAGCAGGGGAUCUUCGGACCUUGCACUAUUGGAUGAGCCCUCGUCAGAUUAGCUAGUUGGUGGGGUAAAGGCCUACCAAGGCGACGAUCUGUAGCUGGCCUGAGAGGGUGGUCAGCCACACUGGAACUGAGACACGGUCCAGACUCCUACGGGAGGCAGCAGUGGGGAAUAUUGCGCAAUGGAGGAAACUCUGACGCAGCCAUGCCGCGUGUGUGAAGAAGGCCUUAGGGUUGUAAAGCACUUUAAGCGAGGAGGAAAGGUUGCUGGUUAAUAACCAGUAGCUGUGACGUUACUCGCAGAAUAAGCACCGGCUAAUUCAGUGCCAGCAGCCGCGGUAAUACUGAAGGUGCAAGCGUUAAUCGGAAUUACUGGGCUUUAAGCGCGCGUAGGCGGUUUGCUAAGCCAGAUGUGAAAGCCCCGGGCUUAACCUGGGAACUGCAUUUGGAACUGGCAGGUUAGAGUACGGUAGAGGGGGGUAGAAUUUCCUGUGUAGCGGUGAAAUGCGUAGAUAUAGGAAGGAAUACCAGUGGCGAAGGCGGCCACCUGGACUGAUACUGACGCUGAGGUGCGAAAGCGUGGGGAGCGAACAGGAUUAGAUACCCAGGUAGUCCAUGUCGUAAACGAUGUCAACUAGCCGUAGGGAUCCUUGAGGUCUUUGUGGCGCAGCUAACGCAAUAAGUUGACCGCCUGGGGAGUACGGCCGCAAGGUUAAAACUCAAAUGAAUUGACAGGGGCCCGCACUCGCGGUAGAGCAUGUGGUUUAAUUCGAUGCAACGCGAAGAACCUUCCCUGGUCUUGACAUCCUGCGAACUUUCUAGAGAUAGAUUGGUGCCUUCGGGAACGCAGAGACAGGUGCUCCAUGCCUGUCGUCAGCUCGUGUCGUGAGAUGUUGGGUUAAGUCCCGUAACGAGCGCAACCCUUGUCCUUAGUUGCCAGCACGUAGGUGGGAACUCUAAGGAGACUGCCGGUGACAAACCGGAGGAAGGUGGGGACGACGUCAAGUCAUCAUGGCCCUUACGACCGGGGCUACACACGUGCUACAAUGGCCGGUACAGAGGGCUGCAAUACCGCGAGGUGGAGCGAAUCUCAGAAAACCGGUCGUAGUCCCGAUUGGAGUUUUCAACUCGACUCCAUGAAGUCGGAAUCGCUAGUAAUCGCGAAUCAGAAUGUCGCGGUGAAUACGUUCCCGGGCCUUGUACACACCGCCCGUCACACCAUGGGAGUGGAUUGCACCAGAAGUAGGUAGCUUAACCUUCGGGAGAGCGCUUACCACGGUGUGGUUCAUGACUGGGGUGAAGUCGGAACA
Molecule: ribosomal RNA, 1475 nt
Filed under: uncultured prokaryote
Description: partial 16S ribosomal RNA
Rfam family: Bacterial small subunit ribosomal RNA
Source: RNAcentral